GGAGGGAAGAUCUGGGAUGCCUUCCCCAGCACCCAGCAUAUCAUGCUUUUUAAAUAGAGCUCAAAAAUAAGCAAAAUGAAACACCAUGUUAUUAUUUCAUAUAUAUUUUGAUAUAAGCAUAUAUAUUUAAAAGCAGUAGAACGAUAUACAACAUUUAGGGCUGUGCUUACCUUUGGAGAAUGGACUAGGGAUUGGACAACUGAAUUUAAAGGCAAGUUAAAGUUCAAUAUUUUGAACAAUGUUUAAAUCAAGAUGAGCGAGAAGACAGAACUGUUAAAAGGUUUUAUUUUACAGCCAAGUGAAGGAUUCAGCUAUGUCCCAAAGGAUUAAACAAGAUGGUAUGCUUAAUAAUUCCUCGCUUCUAUGAAACUCCCUGAUUAUGAAGUGUACUUUCAUUCUAUAGAACUACUCCUGAUUUCAUCAGGAAACUCUGAUCUGAAACUCAAUUUACAGAAAUAUUAAAAAUGAAUUUUCGACUAAA
This is a long non-coding RNA of Homo sapiens (human), 481 nucleotides long. Lineage: Eukaryota; Metazoa; Chordata; Mammalia; Primates; Hominidae. The record is from Ensembl.